RNAcentral lists this unclassified non-coding RNA (200 nucleotides) under soil metagenome. Its description in RNAcentral is "partial contains internal transcribed spacer 2 and large subunit ribosomal RNA". The record is from RNAcentral.
UUGUGUCACAACAACUGAUCUUAAAUGAAUGAGUGCACCCUGCUGUUGCAGCGUCUUCAGUGUGAUAAGCAUCUUCACUGGAACAAAGUUCCCUUUUGGGACACGUAAGUAAUGUAGGCUCUGUGCUGGCAAACCGUCUUUUUUGGACAAAUCUUUGACAAUUUGACCUCAAAUCGGGUGGGACUACCCGCUGAACUUAA